AGUGGCAGCACGGGUGMGUAACGCGUGGGAAUCUACCUUGGGGUAGCGGAACAACCAAGGGAAACUUUGGCUAAUACCGUAUGAGCCCUUCGGGGGAAAGAUUUAUCGCCAUAAGAUGAGCCCGCGUAGGAUUAGCUAGUUGGUGAGGUAAUGGCUCACCAAGGCGACGAUCCUUAGCUGGUCUGAGAGGAUGACCAGCCACACUGGGACUGAGACACGGCCCAGACUCCUACGGGAGGCAGCAGUGGGGAAUAUUGGACAAUGGGCGCAAGCCUGAUCCAGCCAUGCCGCGUGUGUGAUGAAGGCCUUAGGGUUGUAAAGCACUUUUACCGAUGAAGAUAAUGACUGUACCCGGAGAAUAAGCCCCGGCUAACUUCGUGCCAGCAGCCGCGGUAAUACGAAGGGGGCUAGCGUUGUUCGGAAUUACUGGGCGUAAAGCGUACGUAGGCGGAUUGUUAAGUGAGGGGUGAAAUCCCGAGGCUC
RNAcentral lists this ribosomal RNA (483 nucleotides) under Kaistia sp. CHF3. Its description in RNAcentral is "bacterial SSU rRNA". It matches the Rfam family "Bacterial small subunit ribosomal RNA", at positions 94 to 610 of the family's 1533-position model. Lineage: Bacteria; Pseudomonadati; Pseudomonadota; Alphaproteobacteria; Hyphomicrobiales; Kaistiaceae. The record is from RNAcentral.